GGUAAAAAGAAGAUUGCCAAAAACUCCAAGAUCAAGUUCUUUAUGAACGUUUAUAACUGUAACCACCUCAUGCCUACAGGUGCUCUGGAUAGCCUCUCAGAGGGAACGGUUGUCAAGAAGGAUGUCUUUAGAGACUCAGCUCUGAAACGCAAGGCUGGGGAGGCCAAGGUCAGUUGGAAGAACAAUACAAGACAGGAGAGAACAAAUGGUUUUUCCACAAGCUAUGCUUUUAG
RNAcentral lists this long non-coding RNA (233 nucleotides) under Mus musculus (house mouse). Its description in RNAcentral is "long non-coding RNA chr11:116550417-116550650". Lineage: Eukaryota; Metazoa; Chordata; Mammalia; Rodentia; Muridae. The record is from RNAcentral.